This 253-nucleotide ribosomal RNA is filed under the name uncultured bacterium. RNAcentral's name for it is "partial 16S ribosomal RNA". It matches the Rfam family "Bacterial small subunit ribosomal RNA", at positions 524 to 776 of the family's 1533-position model. The record is from RNAcentral.
UACGUAGGGGGCAAGCGUUAUCCGGAUUUACUGGGUGUAAAGGGGGCGCAGACGGCAGCGCAAGCCAGGAGUGAAAGCCCGGGGCCCAACCCCGGGACUGCUCUUGGAACUGCGCGGCUGGAGUGCAGGAGGGGCAGGCGGAAUUCCUGGUGUAGCGGUGAAAUGCGUAGAUAUCAGGAGGAACACCGGUGGCGAAGGCGGCCUGCUGGACUGCGACCGACGUUGAGGCCCGAAAGCGUGGGGAGCAAACAGG